RNAcentral lists this ribosomal RNA (491 nucleotides) under uncultured bacterium. RNAcentral's name for it is "partial 16S ribosomal RNA". It matches the Rfam family "Bacterial small subunit ribosomal RNA", at positions 29 to 506 of the family's 1533-position model. The record is from RNAcentral.
AGUGAACGCUGGCGGUAGGCCUAACACAUGCAAGUCGAACGGCAGCACAGUAAGAGCUUGCUCUUACGGGUGGCGAGUGGCGGACGGGUGAGGAAUACAUCGGAAUCUACUUUUUCGUGGGGGAUAACGUAGGGAAACUUACGCUAAUACCGCAUACGACCUACGGGUGAAAGCAGGGGAUCUUCGGACCUUGCGCGAUUGAAUGAGCCGAUGUCGGAUUAGCUAGUUGGCGGGGUAAAGGCCCACCAAGGGGACGAUCCGUGGCUGGUCUCAGAGGAUGAUCAGCCAAAUUGAAACUAAGACAGGUACCGGAUCCGUAGGGGAGGCAGCAGUGGCAAAUAUUGGGCAACGGGCGCAAGCGUGACCCAGCCAUCCCGCGUGGGUGAGGAAGGCCUUCGAGUUGUAAAGCCCUUUUGUUGGGAAAGAAAAGAAGCAGGUUAAUACCCCGCUGUUCGGAGGGUACCCAAAGAAUAGGCACCGGCUAACUUCGG